GCGGGGGUUGCCAAGCCCGGUCAAAGGCGCAGGGCUUAGGACCCUGUCUCUGAGGAGUUCGCGGGUUCGAAUCCCGCCUCCCGCA
This 85-nucleotide transfer RNA is filed under the name Nitrosopumilaceae archaeon. Its description in RNAcentral is "tRNA-Leu". It matches the Rfam family "tRNA". From Rfam's summary of the family: Transfer RNA (tRNA) molecules are approximately 80 nucleotides in length. Their secondary structure includes four short double-helical elements and three loops (D, anti-codon, and T loops). Further hydrogen bonds mediate the characteristic L-shaped molecular structure. tRNAs have two regions of fundamental functional importance: the anti-codon, which is responsible for specific mRNA codon recognition, and the 3' end, to which the tRNAs corresponding amino acid is attached (by aminoacyl-tRNA synthetases). tRNAs cope with the degeneracy of the genetic code in two manners: having more than one tRNA (with a specific anti-codon) for a particular amino acid; and 'wobble' base-pairing, i.e. permitting non-standard base-pairing at the 3rd anti-codon position. Lineage: Archaea; Thermoproteati; Nitrososphaerota; Nitrososphaeria; Nitrosopumilales; Nitrosopumilaceae. The record is from RNAcentral.